Sapajus apella (tufted capuchin) is the source of this 945-nucleotide long non-coding RNA. RefSeq lists it as uncharacterized. The record is from RefSeq and is a predicted model, not a curated record. NCBI's taxonomy places the organism in Eukaryota, Metazoa, Chordata, Mammalia, Primates, Cebidae. The transcript is spliced from 3 exons.
GGAAGAGGACUCAGAAAAUCAAGAAGCUCUUAGGAAAAAGCUUUCAAAGCCUUCUCAGGUGGGCAGUGGUCAGAAACUGGGGUCAAGGAACCUAAUUGAUGAGACAAGUGAUAUAGAAGAUUUACUCAAAGAGGAAGAAGAUUACAAGGAAGAAAAGAAUGAUCCCACAGAAACCUCAGGUGCCCUCAAGUGGAAGGAAGACCUUUCCAGAAAGGCAGCUGAGGCUUUUGUGAGGCAGCAGCAAGCAGCUCCAAACCUCCGAAAGCUUAUUUAUGGGACAGUGACAGAAGAUAAUGAAGAAGAUGAUGAUACCCGAGAAGAACUUGGAGGGUUAUUUCGUGUCACCCAGCCUGACAGAGAGUGUAAGCACAAGGCCGACUCUUUGGACUGCUCCAGAUUUCUUGUGGAGGCGCCCCACGACUGGGAUUUAGAGGAGGUAAGGGGGUGGUAUGUUUGAUUUAUCAGAUAAUUAGAGACUAUUGUUCUAGAAUAAGAUUGUCUUAUGUCAAUAUUGCUUACCUGUUGUUGGCUUCUUAUAUUCAUAGGAUGACAGGUCAUCUAGAUAUUGUAAUGGGCACUUCAUCCGUCCUAAGCAAUAACACAAUCUGAGUUUAGUUAGACCAUGUGCACAGCCCACGGAGGACAGGCUCAGUUUCCAGUGUGGACAGUAGUGCGAAUCUUUAUUUUGAAGCAUCACACAUAAGUUUUUAUACAUCUGAUGUAUUUUGCAUCUCUUCACUAGGACAUACGUAGCAUCCCUGAGUUAACAUUUAUAGUUUCUGCUAUUUGUAAGCAUACAGAAAUCUGAUACCUAUAAAUGUUCUUCCUGUAGCCCACCACUUUGUAGUCACACUGAAACUUGCCACAGCUUACCCUCCUCUUACUCUUAGAUCUUUUCUUUCUCUGUCUCUUUUUUUUUUUUUGGUGACACAGUCUUGGACUGCA